This 497-nucleotide ribosomal RNA is filed under the name uncultured bacterium. RNAcentral's name for it is "partial 16S ribosomal RNA". It matches the Rfam family "Bacterial small subunit ribosomal RNA", at positions 28 to 507 of the family's 1533-position model. The record is from RNAcentral.
GAUGAACGCUGGCGGCGUGCCUAAUACAUGCAAGUCGAGCGAACAGACGCGGAGCUUGCUCCUCUGACGUUAGCGGCGGACGGGUGAGUAACACGUGGAUAACCUACCUAUAAGACUGGGAUAACUUCGUGAAACCGGAGCUAAUACCGGAUAAUAUAUUGAACCGCAUGGUUCAAUAGUGAAAGACGGUUUUGCUGUCACUUCUAGAUGGAUCCGCGCCGCAUUAGCUAGUUGGUACGGUAACGGCUUACCAAGGCGGCGCUGCGUAGCCGACCUGAGAGGGUGAUCGGCCACACUGGAACUGAGACACGGUCCAGACUCCUACGGGAGGCAGCAGUAGGGAAUCUUCGGCAAUGGGCGAAAGCCUGACGGAGCAACGCCGCGUGAGUGAAGAAGGUCUUCGGAUCGUAAAACGCUGUUAGUGGGGAAGAACGAAUGUGUAAGUAACUAUGCACGUCUUGACGGUACCUAAACAGAAAGCCACGGCUAACUACGUG